Molecule: long non-coding RNA, 410 nt
Filed under: Nicotiana benthamiana
Lineage: Eukaryota; Viridiplantae; Streptophyta; Magnoliopsida; Solanales; Solanaceae
Description: long non-coding RNA (NBEN_LNC012510)
Source: RNAcentral
AGAUAAGGAUGCCUCCUCUCUUUCCAAGCUAGCUCCGAUGCAACCGCUAUCGAAUUAGCUCUUGGGGAUAUCAUAGGUAAGAAGGAGGCCAAUGCCGGAGGAAGUGAAUAAAUCAUAAGAGGUUGUUAAAAAGGGUCUGUUGCUUGCCCGAGUAGGGGAAGGGAUUGGCCUAAGGCAAGGUUUACUUAUCCCACUCUAGUGCUGGUAGGAAGCCUCCUUUCGAGUAGUCUCAUAGGUCAGACCGGUUCCAACCAUUCUUGCUAAGGCUUUAUCCCACUCUAGUGCUGGUUGGAAGCCUCCUUUCGAGUAGUCUCAUAGGUCAGACCGGUUCCAACCGUUCUUGCUAAGGCUCCUAGCGAAAGAUAAAACUUAAGAGUCAAAAAAAUUUCUUGUCUUAGACUUAGAUAGCA